GGAAGCAACACAAUGAGAACUAUAUGUAUUAUGAACUAUAUUUAUUGUUAUAAGGGGGAAAAGGGUAAGUGGAGUGCAAGCUGCAUGUCCUGCCGUCAGGUAAACAGUUGCAUAGUGACUGAGAGAGACUGAGAGGGGUGUGGCCUGCCACCAGGUAAACAGUUGACUGAGAGUGACUGAGAGAGAGUGAGAGGGGUGUGGCCAGUUCUUAAAGGCAUCUGGCACCGGCAGGUCAUCACAGGGGAGACCCAAGCUAUCUGACACAGAGGUAAACAAUGAACACAAAGCAACAAAUACCAGGCCAUAACAGAGGUCAGGGGUCACGAUUAAUGGGUCGGCCUCGUCUGACAGUUCUGGCUCUUCCUGGUUCAG
Molecule: long non-coding RNA, 372 nt
Organism: Clupea harengus (Atlantic herring)
Lineage: Eukaryota; Metazoa; Chordata; Actinopteri; Clupeiformes; Clupeidae
Source: Ensembl